UGCCAGCAGCCGCGGUAAGACGAACCGUGCAAACGUUAUUCGGAAUCACUGGGCUUAAAGGGCGCGUAGGCGGGCAAUCAAGUCCGGGGUGAAAUCCUCCAGCUUAACUGGAGAAGUGCCUCGGAUACUGGUCGUCUCGAGGAGGGUAGGGGCAUCUGGAACUAGCGGUGGAGCGGUGAAAUGCGUUGAUAUCGCUAGGAACUCCGGUGGCGAAGGCGAGGUGCUGGACCCUUUCUGACGCUGAGGCGCGAAAGCCAGGGGAGCGAACGGGAUUAGAUA
This 279-nucleotide ribosomal RNA is filed under the name uncultured bacterium. RNAcentral describes it as "partial 16S ribosomal RNA". It matches the Rfam family "Bacterial small subunit ribosomal RNA", at positions 506 to 784 of the family's 1533-position model. The record is from RNAcentral.